Molecule: ribosomal RNA, 253 nt
Filed under: uncultured bacterium
Lineage: Bacteria
Description: partial 16S ribosomal RNA
Rfam family: Bacterial small subunit ribosomal RNA
Source: RNAcentral
UACGUAGGGUGCGAGCGUUAAUCGGAAUUACUGGGCGUAAAGCGUGCGCAGGCGGUUCGUCAAGUCUGAUGUGAAAGCCCCGGGCUCAACCUGGGAAUGGCAUUGGAAACUAGCGAGCUUGAGUGUGGCAGAGGGGGGUGGAAUUCCACGUGUAGCAGUGAAAUGCGUAGAGAUGUGGAGGAACACCGAUGGCGAAGGCAGCCCCCUGGGUCGACACUGACGCUCAUGCACGAAAGCGUGGGGAGCAAACAGG